RNAcentral lists this ribosomal RNA (467 nucleotides) under uncultured bacterium. RNAcentral describes it as "partial 16S ribosomal RNA". It matches the Rfam family "Bacterial small subunit ribosomal RNA", at positions 28 to 523 of the family's 1533-position model. The record is from RNAcentral.
GAUGAAUGCUGGCGGCGUGCCUAACACAUGCAAGUCGAGCGGCAGCGCGAGUAGUUUACUACUUGGCGGCGAGCGGCGGACGGCUGAGUAACGCGUGGGAACGUGCCCCAAAGUGAGGAAUAACUGCCCGAAAGGGUAGCUAAUGCCGCAUAUGAUCUUCGGAUUAAAGGAUUUAUCCGCUUUGGGAGCGGCCCGCGUUAGAUUAGGUAGUUGGUAGGGUAAUGGCCUACCAAGCCGACGAUCUAUAGCUGGUCUGAGAGGAUGAUCAGCCAGACUGGGACUGAGACACGGCCCAGACUCCUACGGGAGGCAGCAGUGAGGAAUCUUCCACAAUGGGCGAAAGCCUGAUGGAGCAACGCCGCGUGAAGGAUGAAGGCCCUCGGGUUGUAAACUUCUUUUAUAAGUGAAGAAUAUGACGGUAACUUAUGAAUAAGCACCGGCUAACUACGUGCCAGCAGCCGCAGUAA